Betta splendens (Siamese fighting fish) is the source of this 523-nucleotide long non-coding RNA. RefSeq lists it as uncharacterized. Lineage: Eukaryota; Metazoa; Chordata; Actinopteri; Anabantiformes; Osphronemidae. The record is from RefSeq and is a predicted model, not a curated record. The transcript has 2 exons.
CAUUGUGUUUCUUUUAUUUAAGAUUUACAAAAGGGAAUGGACAAUUUCCCUAACAAUGUUACCCUCUCCUCUUUUAUAGUAAUGGACAAUUGAACAUAACUUCCACAUCGUUUUGUACUAUUAAUUCCAUGAGAUUCGAAUAAUAUUAGAUAAUAGUAAUAUUCUUGUUUAAUAAGGUGUAAUCCUUCUGGAGCAAGAGGAACUCUGUCCCAAUUAAAGAUGAGGCACAAAAUCCUGCAAAAAGCUAAUAGAAAGGAGGCAGAGGCUCGUCAGACAGGUGGGGGCCACCACCACCUCCCCUCACCCCAUCUGAGGACCUGGUUCUGUCCCUGAAUAAAGGGCGACCAGUGGUUGAGGGCAUUCCUGGGGCACUUCAUCACACACCACCUCCCACGACAUGAGUAACUUACGUUCACCACAGUAGUACUAACUUAUAUCGUUGUUUUAUUUAUUUAUUUAAUUCAACUACUAUCUCUGUCACUAGGAUUUCUGAAUCUGCUUAACAGUAGAAUGCAGGCUUAUU